UAUUGUAUCAUAACAAGACCUAAAUCAAUGGACUACUUAUUCUCUAUAUAUAAGUGAGGUUAUUUAGUCAUCAAAUCAAUGUGCAUGGUUCCACUCUCGCCGUCCCUCAGCUCUGCAAAUCAUUUGCUUUAUUUUCUACAUGUCUUGGACUAAGCAUCACGUUGAAUUGAGGAGCUUCCCAGUGUAUUCGGAAACUGGUCAUUCUACGUUACCUUAAUCUACAUGUUUUUGUGUUUGGACAAAUGAGGAAAUGAUUCUGAUUUUUAUUGUUUUGGUAUAUUGGUUCAUGUUUGAGUGUGAAAAUAUUUGCAGGGUUAACCAUAAUCCGUUGUAGCUUCUUAAUAUUGAUUUGGA
This is a long non-coding RNA of Arabidopsis lyrata subsp. lyrata, 354 nucleotides long. RefSeq lists it as uncharacterized. NCBI's taxonomy places the organism in Eukaryota, Viridiplantae, Streptophyta, Magnoliopsida, Brassicales, Brassicaceae. The record is from RefSeq and is a predicted model, not a curated record. The transcript is spliced from 2 exons.